UUCACAGCAAGUUCAGAAGCCACCAGUUACAUAAUGAGACAUUGGAGACAGAGACAGAGACAGAGAGAAAACAUGGGAACACAGAGAGCGAGGGAACAGAAGGAGGGUGUUGCGGGAAGAAAGAGGCCAGACGGAGCUUUCUUAUUUCCCUGUCUCUGGCGUGAUACCUUGAGAACAGGAGCUGGUUUCCUCAGGAACCCAGAGCCAGCAGGAAGGGGUCAUUGCACAUCUGGAGGAGGAGCUGGGAAAGACUAUGGGGACAUGGGGAUGAUGGCCAGUAGCCUGCUCAGCACAUAUAGGCAGAACCAGGACAUGUGGGGUGAACCAGAAGCCUGUGACACUGCUGGCCUCCUGCCCUGUGGUCUGCAGGUCGGUUUGAAGCUUCUGUGAUUGAGGAACGGCGCAAGGGUGCAGAGGACCUGCUGCGCUUCACGGUGCCCAUCCCUGCACUCAACAACAGCCCUCAGCUCAAGGAGUUUUUCCGGGGCGGAGAGGUGACUCGGCCUUCUGAGGUGUCCAGGGACUUGCAAAUCCUGCCGCCCCCUCUCAUUCCCACACCACCUUCUGAUGAGGCCCGGCUACUCCAGCCACUGCCUGCAGAAAGGAGAGGCCAGGAGGAGUUGGAGGUGCCAGUGGAUCCCCUCCCAUCCAGCCCUGCCCAGGAGGCCUUGGACCUUCUCUUCUGCUGUGACAGCACUGAAGAAGCUUCCAGCUCCCCAGCUCGAGGUCCCCUCUCUGAGGCCGAACUUGCCCUU
RNAcentral lists this long non-coding RNA (755 nucleotides) under Rattus norvegicus (Norway rat). RNAcentral describes it as "long non-coding RNA NONRATT003490". The record is from RNAcentral. Lineage: Eukaryota; Metazoa; Chordata; Mammalia; Rodentia; Muridae.